CGUUACCAAGCCAAACUGGGUGUGAGCCCAGGACGGAAAGCCACGGGUCUCUUGGAGAUAGCCGGGUUGCCAAUU
This 75-nucleotide non-coding RNA is filed under the name Pseudodesulfovibrio piezophilus. Its description in RNAcentral is "Desulfovibrio piezophilus c-di-GMP sequence". It matches the Rfam family "c-di-GMP-I-GGC riboswitch aptamer". RNAcentral also lists the same sequence under 1 other name. The record is from RNAcentral. Lineage: Bacteria; Pseudomonadati; Thermodesulfobacteriota; Desulfovibrionia; Desulfovibrionales; Desulfovibrionaceae.